AAGACUUAAAUGGGAAAUGACAGAUUUAGAAAUAGAUCCUUCUUCGGACAUUUUUCAAGGUGCUGCAUGGUUGUCGUCAGCUCGUGCCGUGAGGUGUUAGGUUAAGUCCUGCAACGAGCGCAACCCCUGUCACUAGUUGCCAUCAUUCAGUUGGGGACUCUAGUGAGACUGCCUACGCAAGUAGAGAGGAAGGUGGGGAUGACGUCAAAUCAUCACGGCCCUUACGUCUUGGGCCACACACGUAAUACAAUGGCCGGUACAGAGGGCAGCUACACUGUGAAGUGAUGCGAAUCUCGAAAGCCGGUCUCAGUUCGGAUUGGAGUCUGCAACUCGACUCUAUGAAGCUGGAAUCGCUAGUAAUCGCGCAUCAGCCAUGGCGCGGUGAAUACGUUCCCGGGCC
RNAcentral lists this ribosomal RNA (400 nucleotides) under uncultured bacterium. Its description in RNAcentral is "bacterial SSU rRNA". It matches the Rfam family "Bacterial small subunit ribosomal RNA", at positions 976 to 1380 of the family's 1533-position model. The record is from RNAcentral.